CUUAGAUAGAGAUAAGGGUUUGGAACCUUGGAGAAGAAGAUAGAGGAGACAUUUGACUCCUUCCGCAGUGGCAACCACCCAUUCACGGCAGAAACUGUUAGAGUAAGCCGACAAUGAUGAACAACAUUGUUCUUGACUUCCACCCUUCUUGUUCGAUCUCCACUUUCUCUCAUUCUCGAGGCAAAACCAGUGACAGAGAUGAAGAACACGCUAGAUCUAGACAGCAAGGUAGCGACAAUGAUAGGUGUGGCAGCGAGGUUCCCUCUUUGUUGGACCGAUUCGGCCAAGGGACAUGGCCGAAGAGAGUAAUAUUUUUUUGGUUUAUGAAAUUUGAAUGUUAUAAUUGUAUGGAGAUUGCAGUUCUCAUUGGAUGCAAAUUUAAUUUCAUUUUGUGGAUUACUGUAUAUGGAACACCAUGUUGAGAGGAAAACAAUUGCUUAUGAGUUUGUAUAACAAUUGCAUAUGUGUGUUCUUGGUUUGUGUUUUAACAGUGUCCCCCUUUCAGUGUAUGUUUUUUUUUAUGUUGGGAUGGGUGAUCCCCUUUUACAGGGGAUGAGCACAUAGUCCCCCUCCCUUGCUUUUUAUUUAAUUCCCUUAAUGAUUAGCAAAAGAUCCUCCUGACUUUCCUCACUGCUGAUUGAUUCCCUGAAUGCAAUUGAUAUUCUGUUUAUCAUUCCUGAUUUUUUGGCCUGGAUUAUUGCCUCCAUAUUUAUGUUUCGGGUCUGCCUUAAUUGCUCUAUCACAUAUGAUUUUUUAGGGUUGAUUGUGUAAUACUUACAACUGAAUCAUUCUCUUAAUACCUCUAUUUAAUAACUUAAGAUUUUAUGAGCGAAAAUGGGUAUUUGUUUUUAAUGUUUGUUUGCCUUUUUAGCUCUUGAAGAUCUGUUAAUCUAUAUGCAUCUUCCUUAGCAAGAGGUGAUUGAUUAGAUCUGUUUUAUCUCUUUUUGGACAGCCUGCUAAUCAUCCCGACCAACCUAACAAGGACGAGAUUGUGUGCGUUAUUGGAUGCUUGCUGAGGCAUUUGUUGUAAA
RNAcentral lists this long non-coding RNA (1031 nucleotides) under Lupinus mutabilis. Its description in RNAcentral is "partial ncRNA". The record is from RNAcentral. Lineage: Eukaryota; Viridiplantae; Streptophyta; Magnoliopsida; Fabales; Fabaceae.